RNAcentral lists this ribosomal RNA (549 nucleotides) under uncultured bacterium. RNAcentral describes it as "bacterial SSU rRNA". It matches the Rfam family "Bacterial small subunit ribosomal RNA", at positions 113 to 648 of the family's 1533-position model. The record is from RNAcentral.
ACACGUGGGCAACCUGCCUGUAAGUUGGGGAUAACUCCGGGAAACCGGGGCUAAUACCGAAUGAUAAAGUGUGGCGCAUGCCACGCUUUUGAAAGAUGGUUUCGGCUAUCGCUUACAGAUGGGCCCGCGGUGCAUUAGCUAGUUGGUAGGGUAAUGGCCUACCAAGGCAACGAUGCAUAGCCGACCUGAGAGGGUGAUCGGCCACACUGGGACUGAGACACGGCCCAGACUCCUACGGGAGGCAGCAGUAGGGAAUCUUCCGCAAUGGACGAAAGUCUGACGGAGCAACGCCGCGUGUAUGAAGAAGGUUUUCGGAUCGUAAAGUACUGUUGUUAGAGAAGAACAAGGAUAAGAGUAACUGCUUGUCCCUUGACGGUAUCUAACCAGAAAGCCACGGCUAACUACGUGCCAGCAGCCGCGGUAAUACGUANGUGGCAAGCGUUGUCCGGAUUUAUUGGGUGUAAAGCGCGCGCAGGCGGUCUUUUAAGUCUGAUGUGAAAGCCCCCGGCUUAACCGGGGAGGGUCAUUGGAAACUGGAAGACUGGAGUG